Erinaceus europaeus (western European hedgehog) is the source of this 70-nucleotide non-coding RNA. NCBI's taxonomy places the organism in Eukaryota, Metazoa, Chordata, Mammalia, Eulipotyphla, Erinaceidae. The record is from Rfam.
UCUCAGUGAUGCAAUUCCAAUAGCAAUCUGUGGACUUAAUAGCAGGGAGGUGAAGAGAAAAGGGGAGGGA